GACGAACGCUGGCGGCGUGCCUAAUACAUGCAAGUAGAACGCACAGUUUAUACCGUAGCUUGCUACACCAUAGACUGUGAGUUGCGAACGGGUGAGUAACGCGUAGGUAACCUGCCUGGUAGCGGGGGAUAACUAUUGGAAACGAUAGCUAAUACCGCAUAAUAUUAAUUAUUGCAUGAUAAUUAAUUGAAAGGUGCAAUUGCACCACUACCAGAUGGACCUGCGUUGUAUUAGCUAGUAGGUGAGGUAACGGCUCACCUAGGCGACGAUACAUAGCCGACCUGAUAUGGUGAUCGGCCACCCUGGGACGGAGACACGGCCCAGACUCCUACGGGAGGCAGCAGUAGGGAAUCUUCGGCAAUGGACGAAAGUCUGACCGAGCAACGCCGCGUGAGUGAAGAAGGUUUUCGGAUCGUAAAGCUCUGUUGUAAGAGAAGAACGGGUGUGAGAGUGGAAAGUUCACACUGUGACGGUAUCUUACCAGAAAGGGACGGCUAACUACGUG
This 505-nucleotide ribosomal RNA is filed under the name uncultured bacterium. RNAcentral describes it as "partial 16S ribosomal RNA". It matches the Rfam family "Bacterial small subunit ribosomal RNA", at positions 28 to 507 of the family's 1533-position model. The record is from RNAcentral.